Molecule: ribosomal RNA, 217 nt
Filed under: Kyphosidae sp.
Lineage: Eukaryota; Metazoa; Chordata; Actinopteri; Centrarchiformes; Kyphosidae
Description: partial small subunit ribosomal RNA
Rfam family: Bacterial small subunit ribosomal RNA
Source: RNAcentral
GUCGGUAAAACUCGUGCCAGCCACCGCGGUUAUACGAGAGGCCCAAGUUGAUGGAUUCCGGCGUAAAGAGUGGUUAAGAUAAAUCUGAAACUAAAGCCGAAUACUCUCAGAGCUGUUAUACGCCUCCGAGGGUAAGAAGCCCAAUCACGAAAGUGGCUUUAACAUUACUGAAUCCACGAAAGCUAUGACACAAACUGGGAUUAGAUACCCCACUAUG